UGGGGAAUAUUGCACAAUGGGCGCAAGCCUGAUGCAGCCAUGCCGCGUGUGUGAAGAAGGCCUUCGGGUUGUAAAGCACUUUCAGCGGGGAGGAAGGCGUUAAGGUUAAUAACCUUGGCGAUUGACGUUACCCGCAGAAGAAGCACCGGCUAACUCCGUGCCAGCAGCCGCGGUAAUACGGAGGGUGCAAGCGUUAAUCGGAAUUACUGGGCGUAAAGCGCACGCAGGCGGUCUGUCAAGUCGGAUGUGAAAUCCCCGGGCUCAACCUGGGAACUGCAUUCGAAACUGGCAGGCUAGAGUCUUGUAGAGGGGGGUAGAAUUCCAGGUGUACCGGUGAAAUGCGUAGAGAUCUGGAGGAAUACCGGUGGCGAAGGCGGCCCCCUGGACAAAGACUGACGCUCAGGUGCGAAAGCGUGGGGAGCAAACAGG
RNAcentral lists this ribosomal RNA (429 nucleotides) under Chloroflexota bacterium. RNAcentral's name for it is "Chloroflexi bacterium partial 16S ribosomal RNA". It matches the Rfam family "Bacterial small subunit ribosomal RNA", at positions 355 to 776 of the family's 1533-position model. The record is from RNAcentral. Lineage: Bacteria; Bacillati; Chloroflexota.